CCUACGGGAGGCAGCAGUGAGGAAUAUUGGUCAAUGGACGAGAGUCUGAACCAGCCAAGGAGCGUGAAGGAUGACGGCCCUAUGGGUUGUAAACUGCUUUUAUAGGGGAAUAAAAUGCUGCACGUGUGGGAUUUUGUAUGUACCAUAUGAAUAAGGACCGGCUAACUCCGUGCCAGCAGCCGCGGUAAUACGGAGGUUCCGAGCGUUAUCCGGAUUUAUUGGGUUUAAAGGGAGCGUAGGGGGCUUGUGAAGGCAGUUGUGAACGUUUGCGGCUCCACCGUUAAAUUGCAGUUGUAACUGGCAGUCUUUAGUCCACUCGAUGUAGGCGGUAUUCGUGGUGUAGCGGUGACCUGCUUAGCUCUCCCGAAGCACUCCGAUUGCGAAGGCAGCUCACUGCACUGCAACUGACACUGAGGCUCG
Molecule: ribosomal RNA, 420 nt
Filed under: uncultured bacterium
Lineage: Bacteria
Description: partial 16S ribosomal RNA
Rfam family: Bacterial small subunit ribosomal RNA
Source: RNAcentral